RNAcentral lists this ribosomal RNA (274 nucleotides) under uncultured bacterium. Its description in RNAcentral is "partial 16S ribosomal RNA". It matches the Rfam family "Bacterial small subunit ribosomal RNA", at positions 523 to 796 of the family's 1533-position model. The record is from RNAcentral.
AUACGGAGGGUGCAAGCGUUAUUCGGAAUCACUGGGCGUAAAGGACGCGUAGGCGGGUUGGCAAGUCAGAUGUGAAAUCCUACAGCUUAACUGUAGAACUGCAUUUGAAACUGCUAACCUAGAGUAUGGGAGGGGGAGAUGGAAUUAGUGGUGUAGGGGUAAAAUCCGUAGAUAUCACUAGUAAUACCGAAAGCGAAGGCGAUCUCCUGGAACAUAACUGACGCUAAGGCGUGAAAGCGUGGGGAGCAAACAGGAUUAGAUACCCUAGUAGUCC